Molecule: ribosomal RNA, 222 nt
Filed under: Staphylococcus aureus
Lineage: Bacteria; Bacillati; Bacillota; Bacilli; Caryophanales; Staphylococcaceae
Description: partial 16S ribosomal RNA
Rfam family: Bacterial small subunit ribosomal RNA
Source: RNAcentral
UUUAUGGAGAGUUUGAUCCUGGCUCAGGAUGAACGCUGGCGGCGUGCCUAAUACAUGCAAGUCGAGCGAACGGACGAGAAGCUUGCUUCUCUGAUGUUAGCGGCGGACGGGUGAGUAAUACGUGGAUAACCUACCUAUAAGACUGGGAUAACUUCGGGAAACCGGAGCUAAUACCGGAUAAUAUUUUGAACCGCAUGGUUCAAAAGUGAAAGACGGUCUUGC